UCGGGAAUAUUGCUCAAUGGGGGCAACCCUGAAGCAGCAACGCCGCGUGAGUGAUGAAGGCCUUCGGGUCGUAAAGCUCUGUUGUACGGGAAGAAAAAAGCGGAACUAAUAUUUCCGCUCUUGACGGUACUGUAUAAGAAAGGACCGGCUAACUUCGUGCCAGCAGCCGCGGUAAGACGGGGGGUCCUAGCGUUGUUCGGAAUCAUUGGGCGUAAAGCGUGUGCAGGCGGUCUGGAAAGUUGGAUGUGAAAGCCCCGGGCUUAACCCGGGAAGUGCAUUCAAAACUCCCAGACUUGAGUAAGGAAGAGGGUCGUGGAAUUCCAGGUGUAGUGGUGAAAUACGUAGAUAUCUGGAGGAACACCGGCGGCGAAGGCGGCGACCUGGUCCUAUACUGACGCUCAUACACGAAAGCGUGGGGAUCAAACAG
This 427-nucleotide ribosomal RNA is filed under the name uncultured bacterium. Its description in RNAcentral is "bacterial SSU rRNA". It matches the Rfam family "Bacterial small subunit ribosomal RNA", at positions 355 to 775 of the family's 1533-position model. The record is from RNAcentral.